GUCAAUGAAGUUGGUUAAGGACAAGGGAGCUGCUCCCGGCCAGGUGAAAAGGGUGUAAAUUGUAAUGGAGAAAUUGAGAUAGUGACAGCUGCAAAGAAGAAGUUGGAUUUAAGAGACGAUGUGAACAAUAUCGUACUUGAAAAGGAACUUGUGCAUGCCACUGAUGAGAAGGCAAAGCCAACCGCGGUAUUGGAAGAGAAGUCAAGAGGUGUCUUUGCUGUUCCAAAGGCAAGAGUAAAUCAUGCAGAGGUCUCAUUAGGUCAGAAUGAGUGCAAACUGGCCAUUGAUUCGGUGGAAAACAUUGUAGCCAUUGGAACAAUCAUUAAUGUCGACCUUGAGACCAACCAGUAAACUAUCCAUGGCGCUUCAUUGGGAGAGGAAAAUGUACGCGUCUCUAUCAUUCGGACUUUGGUUCCUGAAGCUUUGCUACCAUUUCCCAUAAAAGAUGAGAUAGUGACGGUUAAGGAUGCCAUUGGGACUUGUGUUGCUUGGCCAAAGAACCUAGUCAUUACCCUUGCAGCAGAUGCCAAGAAAAAACUAAAGCGUAAAAAUCAAAAGAAGAGAACAAUGGAUAUGUUUGAAGAUAAUGAAGAUUUGCGAAACUUGCCACCAAAUCUCCCAGCAGCUGUAAGUGCCCUGUGCAUUUGGGCCAACCAUGAACUGCGAGAUGGGGCCACCAUCUACACCACUUUUGAUGCUGAAAUUUUUGGUCAUCGAAGGAAGGCUGUUGUCUUUAGAAGUGACAUCCAUGCCACGGCAAACAUGUUGGAACUAUCAGGAGGCUGCAUUGUAUUUUU
This is a long non-coding RNA of Rosa chinensis, 797 nucleotides long. RefSeq lists it as uncharacterized. The transcript is spliced from 3 exons. NCBI's taxonomy places the organism in Eukaryota, Viridiplantae, Streptophyta, Magnoliopsida, Rosales, Rosaceae. The record is from RefSeq and is a predicted model, not a curated record.